GCAAUGGGGACUCAGUGAUAGGAUUCUUGCCUUCCAUGCGGGAGACCUGGGUUUGAUUCCCAGCCAGUGCU
This 71-nucleotide transfer RNA is filed under the name Loxodonta africana (African savanna elephant). It matches the Rfam family "tRNA". Rfam says of the family: Transfer RNA (tRNA) molecules are approximately 80 nucleotides in length. The record is from Rfam by way of RNAcentral. Lineage: Eukaryota; Metazoa; Chordata; Mammalia; Proboscidea; Elephantidae.